GACGAACGCUGGCGGCGUGCUUAACACAUGCAAGUCGAACGAUGAAGAAAAGAAUCGAAGCUUCGGCAGAAAUUCAUUUCGGAUUAGUGGCAGACGGGUGAGUAACGCGUGAGCAACCUACCUCUUACAAAGGGAUAGCCUCGGGAAACCGGGAUUAAUACCAUAUAACAUUGCGACGAAGCAUUUCGAUGCAAUCAAAGCUACGGCGGUAAGAGAUGGGCUCGCGUCCCAUUAACCGGAUGGUGAGGUAACGGCUCACCAUAGUGACGAUGGGUAACCGGCCUGAGAGGGUGAACGGUCACACUGGAACUGAGACACGGUCCAGACUCCUACGGGAGGCAGCAGUGGGGAAUAUUGCACAAUGGAGGGAACGCUGAUGCAGCGACGCCGCGUGAGUGAUGAAGGAAUUCGUUUCGUAAAACUCUGUUCUAUGGGAAGAAAAGGACUGUACCAUAGGAGAAAGCUCCGGCUAAAUACGUG
RNAcentral lists this ribosomal RNA (480 nucleotides) under uncultured bacterium. RNAcentral describes it as "partial 16S ribosomal RNA". It matches the Rfam family "Bacterial small subunit ribosomal RNA", at positions 28 to 507 of the family's 1533-position model. The record is from RNAcentral.